Uranotaenia lowii is the source of this 489-nucleotide long non-coding RNA. RefSeq lists it as uncharacterized. NCBI's taxonomy places the organism in Eukaryota, Metazoa, Arthropoda, Insecta, Diptera, Culicidae. The record is from RefSeq and is a predicted model, not a curated record. The transcript is spliced from 2 exons.
GUGUACGGUUUGAUUUUUUUUCGUGUAGAGGAAAAUUUCCAUUCCAAUUGCACGCCAUUAAUGCGCGCCAUAUUUUACAUUUCUUGUGGUCGAAACCGGGUUAUCCCGGACAAUUUGUGCGGGAAACACCUGAAAGAUUAUGAUCGGAAGACGACGGCACGGAUUCUGAUGAGGCAGAUGGAGAGAGCGGAGUAUCACAGAGUUAGUGCUUCAAACUUGGGCGCAUGCAAUGGUACAACCCGUGCUAAUUGUUCGCACAUCCGGAGCCUGGGGUUAGAAUGUGUGCCAGAACCGUCUCCCGAGAAUGGUUCCGCGUGAGGUAGUCAGUCGGUGCGCAGUGCAGAUCAAUAAAAUCAAUCAAAUUAGUGCCAAUUUAGUGUAUCACAGUGUACUAAAUUUUCUUUUCUUAAAACUCCGACUAUCAACCGUGAUGUGUGAAUCAAGUGUUCCAAAUAAAGAAUAAAUGUAAAUAAAUAAUUAAUUUUUAAA